This 428-nucleotide ribosomal RNA is filed under the name Durinskia baltica. RNAcentral's name for it is "partial Eukaryotic small subunit ribosomal RNA". The record is from RNAcentral. Lineage: Eukaryota; Dinophyceae; Peridiniales; Kryptoperidiniaceae.
GGUGAGUUGUUACACACUCCUUAGCGGAUUUCGACUUCCAUGACCACCGUCCUGCUGUCUGUAUGCAUCAACACCUUUUGAGGGAUCUAGAUGAGCGAAUAGUUUGGCACCGUAACUCAACGUCCGGUUCAUCCCGCAUCGCCAGUUCUGCUUACCAAAAAUGGCCCACUAAGAACUUCCAUUCAAUGUCUCGGUUCAAUUAAGUAACACAAGACUUCUUACCUAUUUAAAGUUUGAGAAUACGUCAAGCUAGUUUCUAGCCCGGAACGUCUAAUCAUUAGCUUUACCUGAUAAAACUGUAUAAGUUCCAGCUAUCCUGAGGGAAACUUCGGAGGGAACCAGCUACUAGAUAGUUCGAUUAGUCUUUCGCCCCUAUACCCAAGUUCGACGAUCAAUUUGCACGUUAGAAUCGCUGCGGACCUCCACCA